Molecule: ribosomal RNA, 429 nt
Filed under: Bacteroidota bacterium
Lineage: Bacteria; Pseudomonadati; Bacteroidota
Description: Bacteroidetes bacterium partial 16S ribosomal RNA
Rfam family: Bacterial small subunit ribosomal RNA
Source: RNAcentral
UAGGGAAUCUUCGGCAAUGGGGGGAACCCUGACCGAGCAACGCCGCGUGAGUGAAGAAGGUUUUCGGAUCGUAAAGCUCUGUUGUUAAGGAAGAACGAGUGUGAGAAUGGAAAGUUCAUGCUGUGACGGUACUUAACCAGAAAGGGACGGCUAACUACGUGCCAGCAGCCGCGGUAAUACGUAGGUCCCGAGCGUUGUCCGGAUUUAUUGGGCGUAAAGCGAGCGCAGGCGGUUAGAAAAGUCUGAAGUGAAAGGCAGUGGCUCAACCAUUGUAGGCUUUGGAAACUGUUUACCUUGAGUGCAGAAGGGGAGAGUGGAAUUCCAUGUGUAGCGGUGAAAUGCGUAGAUAUAUGGAGAAACUCCGGUGGCGAAAGCGGCUCUCUGGUCUGUAACUGGCGCUGAGGCUCGAAAGCGUGGGGAGCGAACAGG